Molecule: long non-coding RNA, 749 nt
Organism: Gasterosteus aculeatus aculeatus (three-spined stickleback)
Lineage: Eukaryota; Metazoa; Chordata; Actinopteri; Perciformes; Gasterosteidae
Source: Ensembl
UGGUGAGUAACACGGACCCCACCACAGCGGGCCCGGACCCGGCAGCGUACGGGAAGGUCUUGUCGUGAGCGUGUGCGAUGAUGGACAGAACCCCCGCGUAGGCCUCCUCGCAGGCCGGCUGGAUCUGCUCCUCUGGCAGCAGCUCAAAGGUGUAGGAGAACGGGACGCCAACGAGACGAGCCCAGUCGCGGCUGGAGCCGGAGUUUGGAUCUGAAGUGUAGUCCAUUCCGUGCACCUUCUUCAUUUCUGAUGCGGCUGCCUCACCGACUGAACCUGCACGAAGGAAAAAACACGAAAAAACAAAACCAGGCAGCCGGGAUCUCCGUCACCAGACGACGUCACCGGGUUAGAGGAGGUGAAAAGAACGCAGACACACACCAGCUCAGCGUAGUUGGGCGCAGAGAUCUCAGGGUGGCCGUAAGGCAAGAGGACGAGCUGCCCAGCGGAGUGGAUGGUGAGGAAACACACAGUGCGGUUCACCAUCCCACCUAGAGAGGGAGGACAAACAUGUGAUCUGUGUCAAGUGGACGUCACGCCGUUGAUGAGGAGCCUCAAUAAUGACCUCUAAGUUCAGUUAUCCAUUCAUGUAAAUGAACACGGAUCAAACCCAUACAAUGUUGAUAAAUAGUUUUAAAUAAAAAUGGUUACCAACAAAGUCCAUCACAGCUUGAGCCUCUGGUUCUGAGCCUGCUGAUUUCCCGCAGUAGUUGUUAGCACAACUGUCAAACGACACCCCGACCGCUGAGGAA